UGACCAGGUUAUCUGUGGUCCUACUGUGAGUCUACCUGUGGAUGUUGGGUGACUCUGAGGUUCCUGAUCUCCCUCCUUCUUGGUUUCUUGGUUUUUUAGAUCAAAUGUGUAGUGGGCAGCCAUGCAAAUGGAGCACAGGUUCAAGAGGAGAAAUAUCUCCUAGCAGCCCUUCAAACAGAGGACUGUUCUCCCUAGAAGAGGAGAAUGCUUUCUGUGCCAAGAAAGUGUGUUCUGGCAGUCAAAUCUGUGCACGCGUGUGUUUAGGAUGGGGCAGGGCUGGCAGAAGAUAGGAGGCGAGGUGGUAGGAGGCUGAGAAGAAGCAGAACAGGAGAACCACCCCUGGAUCUGCAACAAAAUCCUCACCUUUGCCACCUCGCUGAGUAGGCCUGGUCCUGAAGAAAGAGGGGAGCCUCCCCAGGCACUCCGAAAAGCCUCUCCAUUCCUUCUUUCUCCCCAAAGGCUCCACCUGGCUUGGUGGAGCCUUGGUUUCCCCAGCAACCGGUGGGGGAAAUUGUUUCCUGCCAGAGGUGAGAAUACCAAAGGCUUCCCCUUCCUGCCCCAGCAGGCCCAGUUGGGCUUCUCCCACCUGGGAGAGCAGAGUCACGGGAGGGAAGCGCUCCAGGUGCAGCAGGGAACGAGGCGGAGGUGGCGGGUGCGAGACCCGAUGCCUGGAAUUGUCUGGAGGCGGCGACCAGGCUGAGGUUGUGUCUGUUCUUGCAUUUCCUGCCCGGAGGGUUCCUCUUGCCUGCUUCCCCACAAUCCCCAGGAAGUCAGAACACCAUGGACAGCUGCUGAUGGGAAAAGGGCUUCCAUAUGGAAUACACAUGGCAGGAGAAAGGAGACAAGGUGGAGUCAGCUGGCAAGGUAAGCCCUGCCCUGCCCGCCCUCAUGGUGCUGGUUUGGCCCAUGGGUGGCAGAACCAAGACGCUGUUGGGUGAAGUAUAACACAGCAGGAGAACAGAGCAGGCCAAGGGGUAAAGGGCCCCUUUUUCAGAUGCAAUCCUAACCGCACUUUUGCCCACUCGGGUGAAAGGCACUGGUUCUCACUUUGAAUUCUGGGGAUCAUUUGUCGUUUUGCAAAUGUGCAUCUCAAUUACUGCAAAGCGGUGUCCUCUUUUCAUUCUCCUUUUUAAGGGGAGCACAAGUGGCCAUCCUAGAAUGAUGGUUGGCUUCACAAGGUUGGUGUACCUGUACCGGCAGCGAGGGGGGGGGGAGAGGGAGGGCUUUUUCCCCCACUUCCCUUGGCAGAAUUAGCUCCAGCCCUGAGAGAUAGUUUGGGUUGUGGGGAAGGAACACUUGGGUGGAGGGUUGUGGGGCUUUCUCUUCUUUGCAAGGCAAAUAAGCCCCAGCCCCCUCCCAAUGAAGCUCUCCUGGGGCAAUUCAGAGAGUAUCAGAGCAACACAGACUGUGUUGCACUGCCCCCCCGCCCCCCUCCAGCCAGCUCUCUCUCUUUUUUGGCAGCGUUUGCCACAUCCAGUCUGUUUAGCAUCAGCUUAGCCCCAUCGCGGCAGGCUGGGACCUCCGCAUUCGAGGCUAUUUUUGCAUUCAGUUCAGUUUUUAUCAUUUUAAGGUUCACGCGUUUCUAAUUGUUAUGAAUACCAUGGUAAAAUUAAUAGUUCUAUGGUUGGUUUAUUACAUUUAGUAAAAUUAUGGGCAUGUAAUGUUUGCCAAGAAAAGACACUGCA
Molecule: long non-coding RNA, 1685 nt
Filed under: Pogona vitticeps (central bearded dragon)
Lineage: Eukaryota; Metazoa; Chordata; Lepidosauria; Squamata; Agamidae
Description: lncRNA (ENSPVIG00000017779.1)
Source: RNAcentral